CCUACGGGUGGCAGCAGUGGGGAAUAUUGCGCAAUGGGCGAAAGCCUGACGCAGCGACGCCGCGUGAGGGAUGAAGGUCUUCGGAUCGUAAACCUCUGUCAGCAGGGAAGUACGGUCACUGUGCUAAUCAGCAGUGAAUUGACGGUACCUGCAAAGGAAGCACCGGCUAGCUCCGUGCCAGCAGCCGCGGUAAUACGGAGGGUGCGUGCGUUAAUCGGAAUUACUGGGCGUAAAGCGCUCGUAGGCGGUAUGUCAAGUCAAGGGUGAAAUCCCCGCGCUCAACGUGGGAACUGCCUUUGACACUGGCAGACUGGAGUGUAGGAGAGGAUAGUGGAAUUCCAGGUGUAGGAGUGAAAUCCGUAGAUAUCUGGAGGAACAUCAGUGGCGAAGGCGACUAUCUGGCACAUAACUGACGCUGAGGAGCGAAAGCGUGGGUAGCAAACAGGAUUAGAUACCCUAGUAGUC
Molecule: ribosomal RNA, 465 nt
Filed under: uncultured bacterium
Lineage: Bacteria
Description: partial 16S ribosomal RNA
Rfam family: Bacterial small subunit ribosomal RNA
Source: RNAcentral